RNAcentral lists this ribosomal RNA (460 nucleotides) under uncultured bacterium. Its description in RNAcentral is "partial 16S ribosomal RNA". It matches the Rfam family "Bacterial small subunit ribosomal RNA", at positions 338 to 795 of the family's 1533-position model. The record is from RNAcentral.
CCUACGGGAGGCUGCAGUGAGGAAUAUUGGUCAAUGGACGAGAGUCUGAACCAGCCAAGUAGCGUGAAGGAUGACUGCCCUAUGGGUUGUAAACUUCUUUUAUAUGGGAAUAAAAUGUUCCACGUGUGGGAUUUUGUAUGUACCAUAUGAAUAAGGAUAGGCUAACUCCGUGCCAGAAGCCGCGGUAAUACGGAGGAUCCGAGCGUUAUACGGAUUGAUUGGGUGUAAAGGGAGCGUAGGUGGGUUGUUAAGUCAGUUGUGAAAGGUUGCGGCUCAACCGUAAAAUUGCAGUUGAAACUGGCAGUAUUGAGUGCUGUAGAGGUGGGCGGAAUUCGUGGUGUAGCGGUGAAAUGCUUAGAUAUCACGAAGAACUCCGAUUGCGAAGGCAGCUCACUGGACUGCAACUGACACUGAGGCUCGAAAGUGUGGGUAUCAAACAGGAUUAGAUACCCUUGUAGUC